RNAcentral lists this ribosomal RNA (393 nucleotides) under uncultured bacterium. RNAcentral's name for it is "partial 16S ribosomal RNA". It matches the Rfam family "Bacterial small subunit ribosomal RNA", at positions 523 to 918 of the family's 1533-position model. The record is from RNAcentral.
AUACGGAGGAUCCGAGCGUUAUCCGGAUUUAUUGGGUUUAAAGGGAGCGUAGGCGGACGCUUAAGUCAGUUGUGAAAGUUUGCGGCUCAACCGUAAAAUUGCAGUUGAUACUGGGUGUCUUGAGUACAGUAGAGGCAGGCGGCAUUCGUGGUGUAGCGGUGAAAUGCUUAGAUAUCACGAAGAACUCCGAUUGCGAAGGCAGCCUGCUGGACUGUAACUGGCGCUGAUGCUCGAAAGUGUGGGUAUCAAACAGGAUUAUAUACCCUGGUAGUCCACACAGUAAACGAUGAAUACUCGCUGUUUGCGAUAUACAGUAAGCGGCCAAGCGAAAGCGUUAAGUAUUCCACCUGGGGAGUACGCCGGCAACGGUGAAACUCAAAUGAAUUGACGGGG